RNAcentral lists this long non-coding RNA (522 nucleotides) under Androctonus crassicauda. Lineage: Eukaryota; Metazoa; Arthropoda; Arachnida; Scorpiones; Buthidae. The record is from RNAcentral.
CAGACAUCUCUGCACUGACCCCCCUGCUCCCCAACCAGCUCCUCCUGGACUCUCUACAGCUGAGCUGGACCCUGCCCUGGCCACUGGGUACCUUUCCUUGGAAUCAGGUGCCCAGUCAUUGGCUUUGGUCAUAUUGGAGAGGAUGAGCCAAUCUACCCAGAAAUCUCAUCUGCUGGGGAACACCCUGGUACCUGGCAGGUUCUUCCCCUGACUGCUUUUCUUGCCUCAUCCUGGACCGGGUGACUCAGAGGCCCCGAGAACAGAGAGGGAUAUUUUCAGGGUCUUGUCAGGGAAGGAGACAACGCUGGUGUCCUGUAGCCUCACCACUCAAAGACUCCUGACCUUAGCCUUGUCCCCUACACAUGUCCACUGAGAUAAGACCUUAGCCAGAUGUCUGUCCGGGCACCAGCUGGCUUUGCCCUUGGUCUGUGCUAGCUCCUCCUGCAGGUACUUGUGUCCAGCCAUAUGCCUUAGACCCAUGUGCCUUCCUCCAGGGUGCCUGUGCAUCCCUGAGACUUCAUC